RNAcentral lists this ribosomal RNA (402 nucleotides) under bacterium. RNAcentral describes it as "partial 16S ribosomal RNA". It matches the Rfam family "Bacterial small subunit ribosomal RNA", at positions 355 to 776 of the family's 1533-position model. The record is from RNAcentral.
UGGGGAAUUUUGCACAAUGGGGGAAACCCUGAUGCAGCGACGCCGCGUGAUUUAGAAGGCCUUCGGGUUGUAAAAAUCUUUUUUACGGGAUGAAAAUGACAGUACCGUAAGAAUAAGGUCCGGCUAAAUACGUGCCAGCAGCCGCGGUAAUACGUAUGGACCGAGCGUUGUCCGGUAUCAUUGGGCGUAAAGGGUACGUAGGCGGCCUAGUAAGUUAGAAGUGAAAUAAUAUAGCUCAACUAUAUAAAGCUUUUAAAACUGCUAGGCUUGAGAGAUGGAAGGGAAAGUGGAAUUCCUAGUGUAGCGGUGAAAUGCGCAGAUAUUAGGAAGAAUACCGGUGGCGAAGGCGACUUUCUGGUCAUCAUCUGACGCUGAGGUACGAAAGCGUGGGUAGCAAACAGG